GAUGUUAUUAUCAAAAAGUUAUACGCAGUGACAAGUGAUUACAUGUAAUCUAAAAGGCACUGGCUAGGGUUACAUGGAAAGGUAACAAUUAUAAAAAUAUUAUUGUUACAUUGGAGACUAAUUGCAAGAAUGCAAAGUUGGGUAAGGAGGUGUCAGACAACCAAUUACUCUCUCCAAUUUGUAAAAGUAGCCCUACUCUGACA
Molecule: long non-coding RNA, 203 nt
Filed under: Mytilus galloprovincialis (Mediterranean mussel)
Lineage: Eukaryota; Metazoa; Mollusca; Bivalvia; Mytilida; Mytilidae
Source: RNAcentral